UUAAUUCACAAUGGAUAACAGACUUAAACCUAAGGCAUGAAACUUUAAGAAUUCUAGUUAACCGUCUUUAAAUUUGGAUGGUUCAGCUGAGCUUACUUUCAAUAUAUUUAUUUUUUUUUCAUUCAAGAAAUAUUUUUAAGUGUCUACUAGAAUAUUAGAUAUUUGGAUUUAAAAAUAAAAGAACUCAUGAAGUUUCUGCCCUCCAGAUCACAGCGUAAUGGUGAAGACAGAUACACAGAUAAUUAAAAUGCAACACGGCAAAAGCACAGAUAGUGUUCAACAUAGGUUAUUCGAACAUCCAGGAGAAAAUGAAAUGUAGUAUCACCUGAGACAGGGAGGGAGAACACAGUUUCAGAGAAGGAUUCCUGGGGAGGAGACACCGAACUGUCUGACUAUGAGAACUUAGGUAUAAUGGAAGUUGGAAGAAGACAUAUGAACCAAACCCUGGAACCCACAAGCAGCAUGGUGUGUUAGUACUGUAUUGUUGGUGCAUAAUCUCUGAAGUGAGAAGACUGGAUAUUGUUCUAAAGAGGAGAGGGGAAAUCACUGGAGAGUUUUAAGCCCUCACCUUCCAUUUUAGAGAGGCUACCCUGCUAUCCCUGUGAAGGAUGGAUUGAGGGACACCAUCAAGCAUAUAGAAGAGUUAUGUUCUAUGUCAUUCUAGAAUUUCCUCACAGAAGAUCUUCAGAAAAUUAAUGUGGAAAAGUCUAAAAAUAGUUCUGUCCCUUUCAUGUGAUAAUUUUGCUCUUCUAUGUAGACAGAAAAAUAUAGUAGACAGAUAACUGGAAAAGAAAGCCCUCCACGUGUGAUCAAGGGGGACAUGGAACCUAUGUUCCUUGGAGACCACAUGGUGAAAACUGCUUAAUCAUUGUCACUGGAGAAAGGUGUCUUUAGAAGCAAAAUGUAGAUUUAAGUAACUCACGUAGAGGUCACUCAUUCAGUCAACCCAGAAAUCCAGUUUUUACUUUUUAUCAGAAGUCAUUUAUGUUUCCAAUAUUCAUAAUGAAGAAAGAGAGAAGAUACAUGUAUGGAAUGGUGAAGUUAAGAUGGAAGAGUCUGAAAUAAGAAACAAUGACUUUCACUGAUCACAAGGGAUUAUAAGCUAUUUUACAGCCAAAAAUUUAAGUAAUUGCAUAAGAGCAAGUACAGAUUUUGUUAAUAAUGAAAAUUAUAAGGCAAAUCUAAACUGGGGGGGGGGAGAAAAUCCUCGAACAUUUCAAGUAUUUACUCAUCAUUUUUUUCAUGUGUCCCACACUUCUUCCAGAUUGCAAAUUAAACUGUGUCUUCCCACUUAGACAUACUUUCUAUCUCUUGGGAAUGAAAUGAAUACUGUGAUUCUUCAUUGCUCAAUGGCCCAGUCUCUCCAGCUUCUCCAGCUUUGAAUGGAUGAAAAAAGAAUGCAGAGCCAUUUUGGAAGGUUUUGCAGCUUUGUGAACAGUUGGAAGCAGGAAUCUUGGUGCACGAAUCUCUUAAUAUUUUUUUCCUGUUGAUGUUAUACAACUAUAAAUGAAGCUUUUAAAGAUAUUUAAAACCAAGGUAAAGCCACCAAAAUAUUACACAAAGAUAAAUAGUUUUAUUUUCUAUUUCGCUGUGAUUAUGGAAUAGUAAAACGUAAAUAUAAGGCAUAAAUAUACUUUACUUAUACUUUGGAACUUAAUUUAUUCUUAAAUUAAAAAUUUAAAACUUCUAAAUGGAAGAAUCAAGGGAUUGUAAAGUAGUGAAGUUAACCUUUAAAACAGUGUUCCUAGGAAUUUGAUAUCCUAAAAGCAAGAGGCAAUAGGAGAUACAGAGAAAGGCAGGAAGAGGUGAAUAAAAAGUUUUGUUCCAUCACUAUUGUGGUUACUGAAGGAGCUUGGGCUUACUGGGUGAUGCACAUCAGUGCUAAUUUCUAUUACUCAGAAGAUUAACACCUUUUGGACUGAAGGAAUGGAUAUUCAGAGUUCAAACCACAACUCUACUGGCUUCAUUCAAUAAUUUGCAGUUAUGUUCUACGAAACAGGAUUAUAAUCCACUUGGAGCUGAAGGAAUAAUGGCCACCAAAGGAACAGUUCUUCUUCUGUUUUAUAAUUCAGUAAACUCUUGUUGGAUUCCUAGUUGAUGUCAUGAAUAUGUUAGGUGUAGUGGUGGUGAUGGGGGUGAAGGUGGUAGUUAAAAAUAAGCAGUAUCUUCUGGGGAGAAUAUACUCUUUUGGAAGAGAUUAAAAGCUUAAAUAUAUAGAAAGCAUAAAAACAUAAUGUGAUAGAAGUAUAUAAUGAAUGUUACUAUUACCUAGUAGAAAAAAAUACAACAAAACUUUGAGAAAGCUCUUGAGGAAUGGCUGGUGUUGCUCCAAUUUAUUUAGGAGGAUGCAGAGCUCCUAGACAAAGUGUUAACACACACAAAACAGAAACAAAAAGAAAAUUAUAAAACAGCUUGAGGAGAUAGAGGAAAACAAAUAUUAGAGUUAAAAUCUAGGAAAACGAAUGUACAUGCUAUUCCACAGAGAAAAAAAUGAAGCAGCAGCAGUGCUUAUGGAGUUAAAUAAGGCUCUUCUCAUAAAGUAUGAACUCUGAACUUUUGAUGAGGCAUAAGUUUCUCAUUGUCUAUGGAAUAUUAACGAUUUUUGAUGUCAUCACUACAGAAAAAAUUUCAUAGUGCUAUUUGGAGACCACCUGUUGUAAGUAGUUUCCAUGGCAAAUCAUGAGAUGCAUGGAGAUUAUUACAAACCACCAAGUUCUACAUACACCAUAAAGUUGAUGUAUGUUAAUACACAAAGAAUACACAAAAAGCUUCUGUUAAUACACAAAUAAAGUAAUACCACCAAGAAAAAUAUUUAGAAUGUGUUUCUUAUAAAUUUUAAUUCUAAGGUAGAAAUGGAAAGGUUUGAGUUUACAGGUGCAAUUUAAAAAACAUAACUCUUCCUGCAUUUGUCAAGAGUGGCAUAGAAAGAAAAUUAAGGGAAGUGAAACACUGACUUCACAAAUAAUGACGAAGAAUAUAAAUUUUUUGAUACCAUUGCUUAUGAUGAAAAACACAUGGGUCUGUCAGGAAGAGGCAGCAUCUCGUUAUAGUAUGCAAGCCUGUCAAGAUAAUCUCAGAUUGGAGAAGAGUAUUUAAACUAAGAAAUGAGAGGGUUAGGCAUAGUCAAAGCAAAAGAAGGACAAUGCCAAAUAUUUCUCAGGAGAAAAAACAAUUAGAAACUAUUAUCAUAGCCUUGGAUAUCCCAUGUUUCACUUUCCAAAUAAAGGCAAUUUAUUUAUUUAUUCAUGCAUUCAGAAUAUUAUGGGAUACAAAUGUUUUGGUUACAUGAAUUGCUU
Molecule: non-coding RNA, 3296 nt
Organism: Microcebus murinus (gray mouse lemur)
Lineage: Eukaryota; Metazoa; Chordata; Mammalia; Primates; Cheirogaleidae
Source: RefSeq, a predicted model, not a curated record